GGUUGGAAUUGGGUUUAAUUUCAGAAAAUUCGGGGUAUGAUAUGAAUAUGCAUAACUGUGUUGAACCAAAUUGAAACUGUUCUGUUUUUGACGAAUUUAUUCAAGGUACCUAGAAAUCUUCUAAAUUCUUGAAAAAAAUCCUGAAGGUUCAUCUGUGAGUCUAUUGCAUCGUGUUAAAUUUUCAGAAAAUAACUCGAAGUGGUUUGGCCUACAAAAUUCGUGGACUGAACUGGUGUCUGAUUCGCGUCUGUGCAGACAGCACAGACACGUGUUGGAAAAACGGGCAUAACUUCUUGCUCGGGUAUCGGUUUUACGCACCGUUUCUUGAUUCCGAAACUAGACUCGUAUAUCUUUCUGAAUAUGUAUGGGUUGUGUCGUGGUUCUUUCUAUAUUAUAGCAGUUUUUUAAUUAAAGUUCAGGUUUUGGUACUUCUGAAAUUCUGGACAGCUUUUGGCUUGUGUUCGUCAUGAAAUUCCUCAAGUUUAAGCAUGCUGGGUGGACAUGGGUUCUCAUGAGUCUUAAACAUGGAUCAAUUGGUGAUGUUUUGGUGUUGGAAUUAUUGGAAAAUAUUGAGUAUGUGAUUUUUAAUGAGCUUUCGAUCGCAGACUGUUCUGCUGAAAACUGUGAAUUCUGCUUUAGAUAUGUAACUUCAUUUGAGCGUAUCUUGGUCAUUCAGACUCUGUUUAGGACAAAUUUUAUAUCAAAAUUCAUGUACCGGAGGUGUACUUUCUAAUGGUGGUGGUUUCAUAAUCUGGUUUUAACCCUAUAAGAAGUUAUGGUCGAAAUACAACAGGAUGGUCAUGGUUUCAAAUCGAUUUUAAGAGUUAUAUCAUAUUUAUACUCUUACGUUUGAUUGGGGGCACUUCUAAGCCUUAAGAUGGACAUAUUUGUAUUUGUUGGGUAUUGUCUAAUACCUUAUUAGUUUUAUAAUUUGGUAUCAAAUGAUUGUUAAAUGGUUUAGGGGUGUUGGUGGCAUUGUUAACCUCAUUUGACACUUGUUAGCAUGGUGAAUGUAUUAUGGGGUGUAUCAUAUAUUUACUUAAACAUUCCAAGGGAUUCAUAUGCUGAUAUGGUAGCUUGUGGCUAGGUAACAAGCCGGUCAAAUAGGAGGUGCCGAAAUCGUAAGUUUGGUGUAUAUCUCGGUCGAUGCAAAGGUAGCAGGUUGCGUAGAGUGGGUCCACUACCGGUCAACGUGUUGAGAAGUGUUUGGGCUAGCGUCAGAUGAUGUGGAUAAGCGAGUUGGUUGUAGGUAGUGAACCAAAAAGUUGAUUUUUAUAAGUAAAAAAUAUGUUGUUGGUGGAUGUGUUGAAGUUUAGAAUUUUUAAAGUAUUGUAAAACUAUAUUGUUGUUUAGUUGUGUGAGAUCGUGGUUGGCUGGUCGAUACGUCGACUCAUUUUUAUGUUAAGGUGAUAAGUCUUC
This is a long non-coding RNA of Rhododendron vialii, 1419 nucleotides long. RefSeq lists it as uncharacterized. The record is from RefSeq and is a predicted model, not a curated record. Lineage: Eukaryota; Viridiplantae; Streptophyta; Magnoliopsida; Ericales; Ericaceae. The transcript is spliced from 2 exons.